GUGGGGAAUAUUGGACAAUGGGCGCAAGCCUGAUCCAGCCAUGCCGCGUGUGUGAAGAAGGCCUUCGGGUUGUAAAGCACUUUUGUCCGGGAAGAAAUCUUCCAGGUUAAUACCCUGGGAGGCUGACGGUACCGGAAGAAUAAGCACCGGCUAACUUCGUGCCAGCAGCCGCGGUAAUACGAAGGGUGCAAGCGUUACUCGGAAUUACUGGGCGUAAAGCGUGCGUAGGUGGUUCGUUAAGUCUGCCGUGAAAGCCCCGGGCUCAACCUGGGAAUGGCGGUGGAUACUGGCGGGCUAGAGUGCGGUAGAGGGUGGUGGAAUUCCCGGUGUAGCAGUGAAGUGCGUAGAGAUCGGGAGGAACAUCUGUGGCGAAGGCGGCCACCUGGACCAGCACUGACACUGAGGCACGAAAGCGUGGGGAGCAAACAGGAUUAGAAACCCUGGUAGUCC
Molecule: ribosomal RNA, 450 nt
Filed under: uncultured bacterium
Lineage: Bacteria
Description: partial 16S ribosomal RNA
Rfam family: Bacterial small subunit ribosomal RNA
Source: RNAcentral